UACCUAUGGCCCGAGUAGUGACCACUUUUAUUGAGUCUAAAGCGUUCGUAGCUGGCUUGAGAAGUCUAUAUUUAAAUCAUUCAGCUUAACUGGAUGACACGGUAUAGAUACUCUCAGGCUAGAGAUCGGAAGAGGGAUUGGGAACUUUUUGGGUAGGAGUAAAAUCCUUUAAUCCAAAAAAGACCACCAGUGGCGAAGGCGCAAUCCCAGGACGAAUCUGACAGUGAGGGACGAAGGCUAGGAGAACAAACCGG
RNAcentral lists this ribosomal RNA (254 nucleotides) under uncultured organism. Its description in RNAcentral is "partial 16S ribosomal RNA". It matches the Rfam family "Archaeal small subunit ribosomal RNA", at positions 474 to 727 of the family's 1478-position model. The record is from RNAcentral.